Molecule: ribosomal RNA, 488 nt
Filed under: uncultured bacterium
Lineage: Bacteria
Description: bacterial SSU rRNA
Rfam family: Bacterial small subunit ribosomal RNA
Source: RNAcentral
ACUCAAAUGAAUAGACGGGCACCCGCACAAGCGGUGGAGCAUGCUGUUUAAUUCGAAAGUACGCGAAGAACCUUACCUAGAUUUGACAUCCCCGGCAAUGCUAUAGAAAUAUAGCGGAGGUUACCCGGGAGACAGGUGGUGCAUGGUUGUCGUCAGCUCGUGUCGUGAGAUGUUUGGUUAAGUCCAAUAACGAGCGCAACCCUUAUCAUUAGUUGCCGAUUUAUCGGAUCUCUAAUGAUACUGCCAGUGUAAGCUGGAGGAAGGUGGGGAUGAGGUCAAAUCAUCAUGCCCCUUACAUCUAGGGCUACAGGCGUGCUACAAUGGCCGAUACAACGAGUCGCUACACGGUAACGUGAUGCUAAUCUCUUAAAGUCGGUCCCAGUCCGGAUUGUGGUCUGCAACUCGACCACAUGAAGUUGGAAUCGCUAGUAAUCCCGAAUCAGAAUGUCGGGGUGAAUACGUUCCCGGGUGUUGUACACACCGCCCGU